RNAcentral lists this ribosomal RNA (253 nucleotides) under uncultured bacterium. Its description in RNAcentral is "partial 16S ribosomal RNA". It matches the Rfam family "Bacterial small subunit ribosomal RNA", at positions 524 to 776 of the family's 1533-position model. The record is from RNAcentral.
UACGUAGGUGGCAAGCGUUGUUCGGAAUUAUUGGGCGUAAAGCGCGCGUAGGCGGUCCUUUAAGUCUGAUGUGAAAGCCCACGGCUCAACCGUGGAGGGUCAUUGGAAACUGGGGGACUUGAGUGCAGGAGAGGAGAGUGGAAUUCCACGUGUAGCGGUGAAAUGCGUAGAGAUGUGGAGGAACACCAGUGGCGAAGGCGACUCUUUGGCCCGUAACUGACGCUGAGGCGCGAAAGCGUGGGGAGCAAACAGG